UUUCUUUUAUUUUCAGAAAUCUGC
Molecule: non-coding RNA, 24 nt
Filed under: Arabidopsis thaliana (thale cress)
Lineage: Eukaryota; Viridiplantae; Streptophyta; Magnoliopsida; Brassicales; Brassicaceae
Source: RNAcentral